AAAGAAACUAACAAGGAUUCCCCUAGUAACGGCGAGUGAAGAGGGAAGAGCUCAAAUUUUAAAUCUGCCUUGUUUCAAGGUCGAGUUGUAAUUUGAAGAAGCGUUUUCUUGGGCCCGCGGCCGGUAGAAGUUCUUUGGAACAGGACAUCAUAGAGGGUGACAAUCCCGUCUGCGACCGGUCGUGUGUUCAUCUACGAUACGCUUUCAAAGAGUCGAGUUGUUUGGGAUUGCAGCUCCAAAUGGGUGGUAAACAUCACCUAAGGCUAAAUAUUGGCGAGAGACCGAUAGCGAACAAGUACCGUGAGGGAAAGAUGAAAAGAACUUUGAAAAGAGAGUUAAACAGUACGUGAAAUUGUUGAAAGGGAAACGAUUGAAGUCAGUCGUGCUGGCGCGAAAUCAACCCUCUCGUCGAGAGGACACAUGGCGUGGCGAGCCUCAAAACCGUCACGAAGCGUGAACUCUUGGCGAAAAGGAGCACUUUCGUGUCCGCUGGUUAACAUCAAUUUCGAACGUCAUAAAAAGGCUGGAGGGAUGUGGCUCCUUCGGGAGUGUUAUAACCUUUAGCGGAAUGUGGUGGUCGGGAUUGAGGAUUGCAACGAAUACCUUUAGGGCUGUUCCACCUGGCCUCUCUUUGGUAUCCUGGUGACGACAGCUUGCUGACGUCGUUAGGAUUCGCCAUUGAACAGGCUAGAGUGUGAGCAAAUUCGUUAAGGAUGUUG
Molecule: ribosomal RNA, 719 nt
Filed under: Entrophospora claroidea
Lineage: Eukaryota; Fungi; Glomeromycota; Glomeromycetes; Entrophosporales; Entrophosporaceae
Description: partial 25S ribosomal RNA
Rfam family: Eukaryotic large subunit ribosomal RNA
Source: RNAcentral